AACGGAUGGCCGAGUUGUCUAAGCGAUAGACUUUUACUCCAGGGGUCAGUGGUUCGAGCCCAUUUGAUGGUUA
This 73-nucleotide transfer RNA is filed under the name Dreissena polymorpha. RNAcentral's name for it is "tRNA-Lys". The record is from RNAcentral. Lineage: Eukaryota; Metazoa; Mollusca; Bivalvia; Myida; Dreissenidae.